RNAcentral lists this ribosomal RNA (3151 nucleotides) under Streptomyces sp. WAC 01438. RNAcentral's name for it is "23S ribosomal RNA". It matches the Rfam family "Bacterial large subunit ribosomal RNA". The record is from RNAcentral. Lineage: Bacteria; Bacillati; Actinomycetota; Actinomycetes; Kitasatosporales; Streptomycetaceae.
ACAGUGGACGCGAGCAUCUGUGGCCAAGUUUUUAAGGGCGCACGGUGGAUGCCUUGGCACCAGGAACCGAUGAAGGACGUGGGAGGCCGCGAUAGGCCCCGGGGAGUCGUCAACCAGGCUUUGAUCCGGGGGUGUCCGAAUGGGGAAACCCGGCAGUCGUCAUGGGCUGUCACCCUUGUCUGAACACAUAGGGCAAGUGGAGGGAACGCGGGGAAGUGAAACAUCUCAGUACCCGCAGGAAGAGAAAACAACCGUGAUUCCGGUAGUAGUGGCGAGCGAAACCGGAUGAGGCCAAACCGUAUGCGUGUGAGACCCGGCAGGGGUUGCGCAUGCGGGGUUGUGGGAUCUCUCUUCUGUUGUCUGCCGGCAACAGGACGAGUCAGAAACCGUUGAUGUAGGCGAAGGACAUGCGAAAGGUCCGGCGUAGAGGGUAAGACCCCCGUAGUCGAAACGUCAGCGGCUCGUUUGAGAGACACCCAAGUAGCACGGGGCCCGAGAAAUCCCGUGUGAAUCUGGCGGGACCACCCGCUAAGCCUAAAUAUUCCCUGGUGACCGAUAGCGGAUAGUACCGUGAGGGAAUGGUGAAAAGUACCCCGGGAGGGGAGUGAAAUAGUACCUGAAACCGUGUGCCUACAAGCCGUGGGAGCGUCGCGUUGAGUGCUUGCACUCAACGUCGUGACUGCGUGCCUUUUGAAGAAUGAGCCUGCGAGUUUGCGGUGUGUUGCGAGGUUAACCCGGGUGGGGUAGCCGUAGCGAAAGCGAGUCCGAAGAGGGCGGUGGAGUAGCACGCUCAAGACCCGAAGCGGAGUGAUCUAGCCAUGGGCAGGUUGAAGCGGAGGUAAGACUUCGUGGAGGACCGAACCCACCAGGGUUGAAAACCUGGGGGAUGACCUGUGGUUAGGGGUGAAAGGCCAAUCAAACUCCGUGAUAGCUGGUUCUCCCCGAAAUGCAUUUAGGUGCAGCGUCGUGUGUUUCUUGCCGGAGGUAGAGCACUGGAUAGGCGAUGGGCCCUACCGGGUUACUGACCUUAGCCAAACUCCGAAUGCCGGUAAGUGAGAGCGCGGCAGUGAGACUGUGGGGGAUAAGCUCCAUGGUCGAGAGGGAAACAGCCCAGAGCAUCGACUAAGGCCCCUAAGCGUACGCUAAGUGGGAAAGGAUGUGGAGUCGCAGAGACAACCAGGAGGUUGGCUUAGAAGCAGCCAUCCUUGAAAGAGUGCGUAAUAGCUCACUGGUCUAGUGAUUCCGCGCCGACAAUGUAGCGGGGCUCAAGCGUACCGCCGAAGUCGUGUCAUUCACACAUUAGGGCCAACGCCUGUGUGGAUGGGUAGGGGAGCGUCGUCUGCCGGGUGAAGCAGCCGUGUAAGCGAGUUGUGGACGGUUGACGAGUGAGAAUGCAGGCAUGAGUAGCGAUUCACACGUGAGAAACGUGUGCGCCGAUUGACUAAGGGUUCCUGGGUCAAGCUGAUCUGCCCAGGGUAAGUCGGGACCUAAGGCGAGGCCGACAGGCGUAGUCGAUGGAUAACCGGUUGAUAUUCCGGUACCCGCUGUGGAGCGUCAAACAUCGAAUCCAGUGAUGCUAAGCCCGUGAAGCCGCCCGCUUUCAGCUUUGCUGUUGGUGGGAGUGGUGGAGCCGGUGACCCGAGCUGGUAGUAGGUGAGUGAUGGGGUGACGCAGGAAGGUAGUCCAUCCCGGGCGGUGGUUGUCCCGGGGUAAGGGUGUAGGACGUCAGGUAGGUAAAUCCGCCUGGCAAUAGUCUGAGACCUGAUGCCGAGCCGAUUGUGGUGAAGUGGAUGAUCCUAUGCUGUCGAGAAAAGCCUCUAGCGAGUUUCAUGGCGGCCCGUACCCUAAACCGACUCAGGUGGUCAGGUAGAGAAUACCGAGGCGUUCGGGUGAACUAUGGUUAAGGAACUCGGCAAAAUGCCCCCGUAACUUCGGGAGAAGGGGGGCCACACUCGGUGAUCCGAUUUACUCGGUGAGCUGGGGGUGGCCGCAGAGACCAGCGAGAAGCGACUGUUUACUAAAAACACAGGUCCGUGCGAAGCCGUAAGGCGAUGUAUACGGACUGACGCCUGCCCGGUGCUGGAACGUUAAGGGGACCGGUUAGCUCACUUUCGGGUGGGCGAAGCUGAGAACUUAAGCGCCAGUAAACGGCGGUGGUAACUAUAACCAUCCUAAGGUAGCGAAAUUCCUUGUCGGGUAAGUUCCGACCUGCACGAAUGGCGUAACGACUUCUCGACUGUCUCAACCAUAGGCCCGGUGAAAUUGCACUACGAGUAAAGAUGCUCGUUUCGCGCAGCAGGACGGAAAGACCCCGGGACCUUUACUACAGUUUGAUAUUGGUGUUCGGUUCGGCUUGUGUAGGAUAGCUGGGAGACUGUGAAGCCUGGACGCCAGUUCGGGUGGAGUCGUCGUUGAAAUACCAGUCUGGUCGUGCUGGAUGUCUAACCUGGGUCCGUGAUCCGGAUCAGGGACAGUGUCUGAUGGGUAGUUUAACUGGGGCGGUUGCCUCCUAAAGGGUAACGGAGGCGCCCAAAGGUUCCCUCAGCCUGGUUGGCAAUCAGGUGUUGAGUGUAAGUGCACAAGGGAGCUUGACUGUGAGACCGACGGGUCGAGCAGGGACGAAAGUCGGGACUAGUGAUCCGGCGGUGGCUUGUGGAAGCGCCGUCGCUCAACGGAUAAAAGGUACCCCGGGGAUAACAGGCUGAUCUUCCCCAAGAGUCCAUAUCGACGGGAUGGUUUGGCACCUCGAUGUCGGCUCGUCGCAUCCUGGGGCUGGAGUCGGUCCCAAGGGUUGGGCUGUUCGCCCAUUAAAGCGGUACGCGAGCUGGGUUUAGAACGUCGUGAGACAGUUCGGUCCCUAUCCGCUGUGCGCGUAGGAGUCUUGAGAAGGGCUGUCCCUAGUACGAGAGGACCGGGACGGACGAACCUCUGGUGUGCCAGUUGUUCUGCCAAGGGCAUGGCUGGUUGGCUACGUUCGGGAGGGAUAACCGCUGAAAGCAUCUAAGCGGGAAGCCUGCUUCGAGAUGAGGGCUCCCACCCACUUGAUGGGGUAAGGCUCCCAGUAGACGACUGGGUUGAUAGGCCGGAUAUGGAAGCACGGUAACGUGUGGAGUUGACCGGUACUAAUAGGCCGAGGGCUUGUCCUCAGUUG